Molecule: ribosomal RNA, 149 nt
Filed under: Levilactobacillus brevis
Lineage: Bacteria; Bacillati; Bacillota; Bacilli; Lactobacillales; Lactobacillaceae
Description: Lactobacillus brevis partial 16S ribosomal RNA
Rfam family: Bacterial small subunit ribosomal RNA
Source: RNAcentral
UAAGAUGAGAGUUUGAUCCUGGCUCAGGACGAACGCUGGCGGCAUGCCUAAUACAUGCAAGUCGAACGAGCUUCCGUUGAAUGACGUGCUUGCACUGAUUUCAACAAUGAAGCGAGUGGCGAACUGGUGAGUAACACGUGGGAAAUCUG